Molecule: small nucleolar RNA, 131 nt
Organism: Sorex araneus (European shrew)
Lineage: Eukaryota; Metazoa; Chordata; Mammalia; Eulipotyphla; Soricidae
Source: Ensembl
CUGCAAGCCUCUGGCAUCCUUGCAUCUGAGUGACCCUGUGCAUUCCUAUGGAGCUUGUGAUAAAAUCAUGAAACAGUUUGAGGUUUUUCUCUGCUCCAUCCAAAGCAAGGCUAUAGAAAUUCCAGACAAUU